CUGGCACACACUGUAUCUCACACAAAAAUGAGAAGUGCAAGAUAUCAUAGGCACAAGAUCGUCGCAAGCACAUAAUGCCACUCAUGAGGGCUAACUUACUAGACCCUCAAGAAGACCUCGAUGAUUCGAGGUGGGGCUAACUUAGCAGAUCCCCGUAGAGUUCGAGUCGCAUGAGAAAUGGAAGAAGAUCCUUAGAAAAUCUUCGGAGGGA
This 211-nucleotide long non-coding RNA is filed under the name Elaeis guineensis (African oil palm). Its description in RNAcentral is "long non-coding RNA (EGUI_LNC027045)". The record is from RNAcentral. Lineage: Eukaryota; Viridiplantae; Streptophyta; Magnoliopsida; Arecales; Arecaceae.